Molecule: ribosomal RNA, 794 nt
Filed under: uncultured archaeon
Lineage: Archaea
Description: bacterial SSU rRNA
Rfam family: Archaeal small subunit ribosomal RNA
Source: RNAcentral
ACUGCUCAGUAACACGUGGAUAACCUGCCCUUGGGUCCGGCAUAACCCCGGAAACUGGGGAUAAUUCCGGAUAACGCAUAUGUGCUGGAAUGCUUUAUGUGUGAAAUGGAUUCGUCUGCCCAAGGAUGGGUCUGCGGCCUAUCAGGUAGUAGUGGGUGUAAUGGACCUACUAGCCAACAACGGGUACGGGUUGUGAGAGCAAGAGCCCGGAGAUGGAUUCUGAGACAUGAAUCCAGGCCCUACGGGGCGCAGCAGGCGCGAAAACUUUACAAUGCGGGAAACCGUGAUAAGGGGACACCGAGUGCCAGCAUCAUAUGCUGGCUGUCCAGGUGUGUAAAAUACACCUGUUAGCAAGGGCCGGGCAAGACCGGUGCCAGCCGCCGCGGUAACACCGGCGGCCCGAGUGGUGAUCGUGAUUAUUGGGUCUAAAGGGUCCGUAGCCGGUUUGGUCAGUCCUCCGGGAAAUCUGAUAGCUCAACUAUUAGGCUUUCGGGGGAUACUGCCAGACUUGGAACCGGGAGAGGUAAGAGGUACUACAGGGGUAGGAGUGAAAUCUUGUAAUCCCUGUGGGACCACCUGUGGCGAAGGCGUCUUACCAGAACGGGUUCGACGGUGAGGGACGAAAGCUGGGGGCACGAACCGGAUUAGAUACCCGGGUAGUCCCAGCCGUAAACGAUGCUCGCUAGGUGUCAGGCAUGGCGCGACCGUGUCUGGUGCCGCAGGGAAGCCGUGAAGCGAGCCACCUGGGAAGUACGGCCGCAAGGCUGAAACUUAAAGGAAUUGGCGGGGGAGCA